UUCAACCAAUCAAGAAGCACAAUAAAUCUAUAAUAAAUCCAGAAUUUGUUAUUGUUCUUCAUAAGUUCACAAAAUAAAGAACUACGAUCUAUCUUUCUUUCACGUGAAAGAAGAAAAAAAUAGAAAAUAGAAAAAUCUCUCUUCUACACUUAGACCACCACCACCCUCAAAUUCCUCCGGCCACCUUCGUCCUCAACCCGCACUUUCUCCCGCCGCAACACUCAAACCACCUAUCUCCGUCAACUCCCCCGACCACUGCUUUUCUUUAACUUUCCUCACGACACCUGUACCUCUUUCUUCUCCCUCACCAUGACUCCCCACUUCCUCGCAACCACCAUCAACUUAAACCUUCAACUUUCACCAAAAUUACUCCUUCCUUCUUCCUCAACCCAAAACCUUUUACCUCGAAACCUAUACACAACAACACCAAACACAACCUGUAAACAACAAUAACUCAGCAACAGAAAACAAAAAGCAACAAUAGAGAACAAAAAGCGACACCAUUAUCAGACCAACACCAUACAAUCUCCAAGUUUCACUACCACCACACCAAAUCACAACUCAAAAAAUGACAACAUCACAAAUCUGAAAAGAAACAAAAUAUAAAAAAGAAGACGAAAAUAAUUUUUUUCUUCAGAUUUAAUCACUUUCAAC
RNAcentral lists this long non-coding RNA (654 nucleotides) under Lathyrus oleraceus (garden pea). RNAcentral describes it as "Pisum sativum (pea) long non-coding RNA (PSAT_LNC008680)". Lineage: Eukaryota; Viridiplantae; Streptophyta; Magnoliopsida; Fabales; Fabaceae. The record is from RNAcentral.